UCCGUAGGUGAACCUGCGGAAGGAUCAUUAGUGAAUACAAACGCUUGGGUGUCUCUGCUUCGGCAAGCCCCUCGCACCCUUCACAUCCAUAACACCUGUGCACUGUAAGAUGACUCUCUGGGCCUCGGUCCUUGGGUCGUCUGACCUUUUUACAAACAAUUAUAUGUAACAAAUGUAGUCUUAUUAUAACAAAAUAAAACUUUCAACAACGGAUCUCUUGGCUCACACAUCGAUGAAGAACGCAGCGAAACGCGAUAGGUAAUGUGAAUUGCAGAAUUCAGUGAAUCAUCGAAUCUUUGAACGCAUCUUGCGCUUGCUGGUAUUCCGGCAAGCAUGCCUGUUUGAGUGUCAUGAAAAUUAUCAACCAUGACUUGGGUUUAGGCCCUCGUUCACGGCUUGGAUUUGGGUGCUUGCGGCCUCGCGCUGCUCACCUCAAAAGGAUUAGCUGGACAUGUCGCUUGACUUGGUUCUACUUGGCGUAAUAAGUAUUUCGCUGAGGACAUCCCUGC
This 509-nucleotide ribosomal RNA is filed under the name Piskurozyma silvicola. Its description in RNAcentral is "eukaryotic LSU rRNA". The stretch from base 198 to 351 matches the Rfam family "5.8S ribosomal RNA". Lineage: Eukaryota; Fungi; Basidiomycota; Tremellomycetes; Filobasidiales; Piskurozymaceae. The record is from RNAcentral.